Molecule: long non-coding RNA, 649 nt
Organism: Nerophis lumbriciformis (worm pipefish)
Lineage: Eukaryota; Metazoa; Chordata; Actinopteri; Syngnathiformes; Syngnathidae
Source: RefSeq, a predicted model, not a curated record
CUAAGAUGGUGCUUACCGAGGUGUGGACGUUUGUUUCGGUGACCACGACAUCCAUCACAGAGACCAUACCACAAACCACGUUGGGGUACGUGGGAUCACAGUGACGUCAACGUGUGCCAGACGUACUUAUAUGGACCAGUAUAGACUUGGAUUGACAUUACUACAUGUUAGCAAGGUAGAGAGGCAAGAUCCGAGGGCCCCUGGGCGAGGUCACGCGGAGGUGAGCCAAGCGGAGAAGGUGUGACCACAAACACAACGACGCGCUUCUCUGUCGAGGGGACCACCGAAGAGAAGGCCGGCGAGACACACGCCGUCAUUCACGGGAUUCCGUUGUGGAGGAAGCCGCCGACGACCACAUCCGAACCGCAGGUACGGACCUCAAUCGCACCUUGUUAGGCCGACGUGUUUACACACCUGGCCUCACAUCCGAGAGGUUUCCCCUGGCGUGCACGCUUGGUGUUUAUUCGCCACUUAUGUACUCAUUCAUGUACUCAUUCAUGUACUCGUCAUUUAUGUACUCAUUCAUGCUAAAUAGCAACUCUUGAGCUCCAGUCCGACUUUAACCCGACAUAAUCCUCCACUCGCGCUUCUUUGAAGAUUGGUCGCGACAAACCCCUGCUUCCCUAGUAGGCGGCCUUGGUUCUCGUAC